GAGUUGCAUAGUGGCAGUCUUCUUUUGUUUUUAUUUCACCAUGAUCCUUGGCCUAUUGAACCUCUGUUUUAACUGCUUUUGAAAAGUUUUCCUUUUUAGAAAUCUUCUUGUCUCUUUCUCCAACAACAUCCCGUUAGUUCUUGGAAGAAAUUAAGACUGACUUCCAAAAACCCUUUUAAAACAGAGUUCCGUAGACCACGGAUUGCAAAAGAGACUAUGCCACUGAAAACUU
RNAcentral lists this microRNA precursor (232 nucleotides) under Arabidopsis lyrata. RNAcentral's name for it is "miR402 stem-loop (aly-MIR402)". Its record names the gene aly-MIR402. The record is from miRBase by way of RNAcentral. Lineage: Eukaryota; Viridiplantae; Streptophyta; Magnoliopsida; Brassicales; Brassicaceae.